RNAcentral lists this long non-coding RNA (1058 nucleotides) under Nicotiana benthamiana. RNAcentral's name for it is "long non-coding RNA (NBEN_LNC010377)". Lineage: Eukaryota; Viridiplantae; Streptophyta; Magnoliopsida; Solanales; Solanaceae. The record is from RNAcentral.
UCCGUCAAGGUCACGAACGUGAUGUUAUUCCUAGCCUUUACAAAGUUUUGAUCUUUCCUUAUUCUUUCUCAAUUUCUGCGAGUUGGCUAAAAUAGUCAAAGUUUUGAUCCUUCAACGUCUUUUGCCAAAUUGCUCAAAAAUUGGCUUCAUCUCCCUAUGAUUCCUACAUCAAGUAACAAAUCUUCGAAAGAUCUGUCGCCUAAUUUUACUCUCCCAUGCAAUUUCGAUGUCGACUUCGUCCACCUCCUUAUGAUUCCUACAUCAAGUAACAAAUCUUCGAAAGAUUUGUCGCCGAGUUUUACUCUCCCAUGCAAUUUUGAUGACGGCUUCUUCUAUAUAAGGUAAGUAUUUUACUUUUCACUUUCAAAUUCUUGACAUUCUAUAAUUUGAUUUUAAAUACAAGCAAAAACGAUAUAUUUUUAUUGCAACUCUAAUGGAGUUUGUAAGAAAUUAUAACCAUCUGAAAUGGUAAAAUUUCUAUGCCUUUCCAUGAUCAAAUUCAUGUAUGAUUGUAGGCAAAGAAUUGAUAAUCUGUCCCAUUGAAUUUGCUCAAUUCUCAUUCCCUUUACAGAAUGUGAUAGCAGCAUGUGAUAAGUAUGAAAGAAGACAAAAUUAUUACCAUGAAGGUAUCAAUGAAUGUCAUCAAGUAAUGUGAAUUUCAGUAGUUUCUGCAUGUCAUCAAGUGAUGUAAAUAAUAAGAUGUUUGAGCACUCACAACUUGUUGAGCACACUUGGCCAUAUGCAUAUUCUGCUCCGUGCUUUUCAUGUGAUUAUUUAGCUUAUGACCAAUUAGAUAUGCUUCUCUAUAAUUUGUAUACUAGCCCUUCAAUUUUAGUGUAUCAUUUGUUGCUGCUUGUUUGCUUCACACUUGCCUUGCAUAAAGCCCUUCAAUUUUGGUGCAUCAUUUGUUGCGGCUUGUUUGCUUCACACUUGCCUUGUAUAAAAUGUCACGAUUAAUUACCUUAUUCUGACUUUAAUUUCUGAGCUGCAUUUUGAGUUUUUACAUCUGUGUUAAGUGCGGAGAAUAGCUGGUUUUCGUGAUUCGUGAAGUAAUUUUG